Clupea harengus (Atlantic herring) is the source of this 1281-nucleotide long non-coding RNA. Lineage: Eukaryota; Metazoa; Chordata; Actinopteri; Clupeiformes; Clupeidae. The record is from Ensembl.
CGUGCUUUUACUUUGUUUCUCUUUCAGUCUUUUAUGUUACUUCCUGUCUGCCAUUGUUUCCUUCCUGUGUCUAGUCCUUGUGCUUCCUCACGGCAAAUGUUAAUGAAGAGGCUCUUAAGUCACUGUCAAAAGAAGAUCUGCGGGACCUUUUCCCAGGGCCCGAACAUUUUCUCAGGAGAAAAUCUAUUUGGGAGGUGGUCCACCCUGUGUUUGAACUCUUCAAGCGAUUACACAAAAGAUUGCAGAACAUCAGGACCCCAAAGAAACCCCAAGGGCCUAAACCAAAAGGGGGGAAAAAGAGACACCUUCAUUUUGAAGAAAGCGAUGAAGAUGAUUUUGCCUCCAGCUCAUCCACCGUUAUUAUGUCGCCAAGUUCCAGCAGCCACAUCAGCAGCUCCCCAGAAAGGGAAGGGGUUCACCAACCCAUAAGCAGCACACCAAUGAAGCAGGCGGAUGUUGUUGAAGGCCAGCAGGAUGGCAGGAUACUUCAGGCACGACACUACAAGACUCUUCAACAGUUAUGUCAAAAACCCAGACAGAAUAAGGAUGCCAUGAAACAGAUCCUUGACCUCGAGUUUGAGGGAAGAAGGGCAUUUAUUGAUUCAGAUACGCUGAAGGAAUGUGACCGGCCGGCAAAAAUGUCGACGUUUACCCAUGCUUCAAAGAAAUCGACCAUGUCCUAGAGGAACUUAAACGAAUUUUGGACAACAGCAACCCAAACUAUGUGGCAGAGAUGCGACAGCGGUUGCUUGAAUUUAAAACUAAAGCAACUUUUUAUGGGGUGUUCAGGAAAGUCAUGAAACCGCCAAUGAAACUUUCUGCCGGAAAGGCCUGCAGUUCAGAAUAUAUAUUCAAUUCAAUUUAUUGUUUAAAGUGUAGUAUCACCAUGAACUUGGUCUCAGAAUACUGAUUCACAAUUGAAUAAAUGAAAUAAGAUUAUAGUUACAUAGGCAAAUCAUUAAUCAUCACUAGGUGGCGGGCCAAAGUCUGGGUUACUGCAUAUUAAGACGCUGCAAUAGGUGCACUCGCAACAACUAGGCCUACAUGGAGAAUGGAUAGGUCUACUACAAAUAACUAAUGAUAAUAAACCAUGUGAAUGAGCCCAUUGGUUGUCUGUUUGAAUAAUUUAAUUAUUUUAACGAACUCUGUCUUAUGCCCUGUCAAUAUAGCCUUGCCUAUUGUGAAUAAUAGCAAUGACGACGUUUUUUCAACAUUGAGCCUCCUAAUUAGACCUAGGCUACUACUUAGAGGCCAUCUUAGACUACUUUUAUUUCGAAAUAG